RNAcentral lists this long non-coding RNA (488 nucleotides) under Homo sapiens (human). RNAcentral describes it as "JPX transcript, XIST activator". The stretch from base 1 to 128 matches the Rfam family "JPX transcript, XIST activator conserved region 1". Lineage: Eukaryota; Metazoa; Chordata; Mammalia; Primates; Hominidae. The record is from RNAcentral.
AGUGGAAGACUUAAGAUGGCGGCGUUUGCACGGAGUGCAAUCACUGCGUCCUUACGGGGGUUGCAAGGCGUCCGAAGUAUGAGUCCACUAACAAAAGUCCAGAAACUCGCCAGUUAAUAGUAUUGUGGUACUGGCUCCUGUAUCACCCAGCUCUGGAGUUGAAAGAGCUCUUCAUUCCUGAGUCUCCUGUACCACUGAGAAUAGAAAUACAAAAAAAAUUCUAAAACUUGUAUGGAACUACAAAAGACAUUAAAUAAUCAAAGUAAUCUUGAGCAACAAGGACACAGCUGGAGGCAUCACUCUACCUGAUUUUGUAAUCCAUUAUCAAAAAACUGUGGUACCAGCAUAAAAACAGAUUCACUGACCAGUGGAACAGGAAAGCCCAGACAUAACUCAUACAUUUCCAUCCAAUUGAUUUUUGACAAAAGUGGCACACAGAAUGGGGAGAGGACAAAUAAAUAAAUAAAUUGUUUUGAGAUAUCUGUAUA